This 425-nucleotide ribosomal RNA is filed under the name uncultured bacterium. RNAcentral's name for it is "bacterial SSU rRNA". It matches the Rfam family "Bacterial small subunit ribosomal RNA", at positions 354 to 796 of the family's 1533-position model. The record is from RNAcentral.
GUGGGGAAUAUUGCACAAUGGGCGAAAGCCUGAUGCAGCGACGCCGCGUGAGCGAAGAAGUAUUUCGGUAUGUAAAGCUCUAUCAGCAGGGAAGAUAAUGACGGUACCUGACUAAGAAGCACCGGCUAAAUACGUGCCAGCAGCCGCGGUAAUACGUAUGGUGCAAGCGUUAUCCGGAUUUACUGGGUGUAAAGGGAGCGCAGGCGGUGCGGCAAGUCUGAUGUGAAAGCCCGGGGCUCAACCCCGGUACUGCAUUGGAAACUGUCGUACUAGAGUGUCGGAGGGGUAAGCGGAAUUCCUAGUGUAGCGGUGAAAUGCGUAGAUAUUAGGAGGAACACCAGUGGCGAAGGCGGCUUACUGGACGAUAACUGACGCUGAGGCUCGAAAGCGUGGGGAGCAAACAGGAUUAGAAACCCCAGUAGUCC